GCCACAUUUACCCUCCUAGAACAUAUAUAUAUAGUAUAUUAUAUACAUAUAUAGUAUAUUUAGCCACCCUCCUAGAACAGAAGUACAACGACAGUUCAAAAGAAUCACUGGAUCACUUUUUCACUAUGAAGGCACACUGAGGCGGCUACGGGGCCGUUUGUAUCUAGAAUAAACUGUCGUCAACAAGGUUUUCACUAAAUAAACAUCAGCAAAGGAAUGGAGAGAAAGAGGAAGCAGUAGAUGAGUGCAGCAGAAAAAAUGGGGUGGUGCCGAGGCUGGCUGGCUGGCUGGCUGGCGAGUCAGACCCUGGAAUUACCGAGCGAGCGAGUAUGCCGGUGAAGCUGGGAAAACGACAAGAGCAGAUGAAACAAAAAAAAACCAUCGAGGAGAGAAAAAGAACAAAGACAACUAAAUAGGACGACAACGUUAGUACUUAGGCUAUCAAUCUACCCCUUGCUCGAUCGGGGAUUUUCGACACGCGUGGCGAAAAAGCUUAUACUGUAGCCACACAAGGAUCACGUAACGUACUCUAAAUGCUCUUUCAUUGAGGGGACGGGGGUGCUUGUCCCACUCGACUUUUGAAGAGCAAGCAAAUAGAAUGUUAAGUAAGCUCAGACUCCUGAGUGACCAAAGAGCUAGAAAUUCAGCUUUCCGCUUUUCUUCGCAACAUACAUGAAGCCAUUAUGCAUGCACUGAGCACUACCGUAUUAAAUUCGACUCCUCGUAUAACU
Varroa destructor (honeybee mite) is the source of this 731-nucleotide long non-coding RNA. The record is from RefSeq and is a predicted model, not a curated record. Lineage: Eukaryota; Metazoa; Arthropoda; Arachnida; Mesostigmata; Varroidae.